RNAcentral lists this ribosomal RNA (496 nucleotides) under uncultured bacterium. Its description in RNAcentral is "partial 16S ribosomal RNA". It matches the Rfam family "Bacterial small subunit ribosomal RNA", at positions 28 to 507 of the family's 1533-position model. The record is from RNAcentral.
GACGAACGCUGGCGGCGUGCCUAAUACAUGCAAGUAGAACGCUGAAGAGAGGAGCUUGCUCUUCUUGGAUGAGUUGCGAACGGGUGAGUAACGCGUAGGUAACCUGCCUUGUAGCGGGGGAUAACUAUUGGAAACGAUAGCUAAUACCGCAUAACAAUGGAUGACACAUGUCAUUUAUUUGAAAGGGGCAAUUGCUCCACUACAAGAUGGACCUGCGUUGUAUUAGCUAGUAGGUGAGGUAAUGGCUCACCUAGGCGACGAUACAUAGCCGACCUGAGAGGGUGUCCGGCCACACGGGAACGGAGACCCGGCCAAGACUCCUCGGGGGGGAGGCAGAAGGGAAUCUUCGGCAAUGGGGGAAAGCCGGACGGAGAACGGCGGGGGGGGUGAGGAGGGUCUCGGGUCGGAAAGACCCGUUGUUAGGGGAGAAACAGUUGGAGAGUUAAAAAUGCACGCUGUGACGGUAGCUAAUCAGAAAGCGACGGCUAACUACGUG